Molecule: ribosomal RNA, 468 nt
Filed under: uncultured bacterium
Lineage: Bacteria
Description: partial 16S ribosomal RNA
Rfam family: Bacterial small subunit ribosomal RNA
Source: RNAcentral
GACGAACGCUGGCGGCGUGCUUAACACAUGCAAGUCGAACGGAAAGGCCCUGCUUUUGUGGGGUGCUCGAGUGGCGAACGGGUGAGUAACACGUGAGUAACCUGCCCUUGACUUUGGGAUAACUUCAGGAAACUGGGGCUAAUACCGGAUAGGAGCUCCUGCUGCAUGGUGGGGGUUGGAAAGUUUCGGCGGUUGGGGAUGGACUCGCGGCUUAUCAGCUUGUUGGUGGGGUAGUGGCUUACCAAGGCUUUGACGGGUAGCCGGCCUGAGAGGGUGACCGGCCACAUUGGGACUGAGAUACGGCGCAGACUCCUACGGGAGGCAGCAGUGGGGAAUAUUGCACAAUGGGCGGGAGCCUGAUGCAGCAACGCCGCGUGCGGGAUGACGGCCUUCGGGUUGUAAACCGCUUUCGCCUGUGACGAAGCGUGAGUGACGGUAAUGGGUAAAGAAGCACCGGCUAACUACGUG